Non-coding RNA from Paramuricea clavata, 565 nucleotides. NCBI's taxonomy places the organism in Eukaryota, Metazoa, Cnidaria, Anthozoa, Malacalcyonacea, Plexauridae. The record is from the annotation of a GenBank genome assembly.
CAGCAACAUGGUUUUUACACUUAAAUGGCAAUAUUUUUCGGUUUUCUUGUGCCGAUUGGCUUCAGAUGGAUAAAAUAACAAAUAUAGGGGGAUACUGCUUAGUUUUAGAUGCGUUUGUAGUAAAAUAAGCAAGCAAAAAGGCGGAAAAUUUCGACGAAUGUCAGCUGUCAGCUGAUUUGGCAAAGCUGGUUUAUUAUUACCGUUGGUCUUAACAAGUGAGACAAAGGUUUCAAUCAUGUUGAAAACGUGUAUAAGAAGAAAGUCGAAGUUGUUGUCACAAACAUUGUGUUUACUGCUGUCUAGAGAAUACACUGAUGGAAAAGAUUGCAAAAGAUUGUGUUUACUGCUGUCUAGAGAAUACACUGAUGGAACAUGUACAACUUUACUAAGAGACAAAUGUAUAAAGACCUAUAAACUAUUGUUUGGAAGUAAUGAUAUUCAAGACACAUUUGCAUUGCAAAAUAUUAAAACUAGAAUGAUGCCACUGUGUAUACAUCUAGGGAAAGGUUUAUAAAUUCGUGCUCUCAGUGUUAAUUUUUUUAAUAUUGUUUAUUUUUUUGCUCUC